This 1594-nucleotide long non-coding RNA is filed under the name Sus scrofa (pig). RNAcentral describes it as "lncRNA (ENSSSCG00060022089.1)". The record is from RNAcentral. Lineage: Eukaryota; Metazoa; Chordata; Mammalia; Artiodactyla; Suidae.
ACAGCAGAGAAGAGAAGAGAAAACGCGGCAGGGCGCUCUGUUGGCUUCUCCAGGAGUGACUGUGCUGCUUUCCAAGAUGAAACCUCCCUUCCUUUGCAGUUCGCUGAGAGCUUCAGUGACCCUCGCUCAUCCUUUGGAGCCCUCUGCCAGGACGAGCCAGUUGUGUGUGGCUUCUGGUGCCUGACCAUUCCUAUCCUGGCUGGAGUCUCCAGAGGUGAGUUUUUACUCUCUUCUCAGUGGAUUCUGACUUCCUGUGUCUGACGAGCCUGGGCAGUACCACAUCUCCUGAUACCACUGAGCAAAAGUGCCCCUGCGGACCCAUUCCACACCCAGCUCCUCCAAGAGCUUACCCAGUGUCUGAAGAAUAAGAACUGGAAUUGAGACUGUCCUAACUAGGUGAUAAUGAACAGCAAUGUCAGAGAAGUGCAAAUACCGUGAUCAGAUUACCCUAGUUUGUGGCUAAAUCUGGGAUGUUACCUUCAAAAAGAGUCAAACUGGAAUCUAGAGGCACUAAAAUUCAGAGAACGAAGAGAAACUCUCAACAGUCAGUUUGAAGAACAGACCACAGUGGAACAAAACACAUUUCCUCUUCUCUCCUACAUGGCUCUGGAGCUAAUUUGAUUUAAUUUAACAAUUACAUAGCGAAUGCUAUUUUACAAAUGUUGCGCUAUUUAAUCUUCAUAGCAACCUUGUGACAUGGUUACUGCUGUUAUCUCCAGUUUACAGAGGACAAAAGGAGAUGCUGAGUGCUCAAAGCUGAAGGAAGUGAACCCAGAUUCAAAGACAGGUUUCUCAGUCUCAUCACUCAGUAGCAGCCAGUUACUUUCUUCCCUUCUUGGAGGUCUCCAACAUCUCCACCCUCCAAUGGGGCUGGAGGGAAACUUCUGAUGAAUAAUGCACCCAACAAACAGCACUAGAGGCAUGAAAUUCUAGAUAUACUUAAAACAUUCCAUGCAUUUUUAUUUCGAAUUCCUCUGCCCACCCAGAAUUUAUGCUUAAUAAAAGAGAAAAUAACUCUGCAUGUCUGAGAUCUUCACAGCUGGUUUGCCAAGCAUGGUCUCUUCUUAUAUUCUGCCAUAUUGCUGGCCUGUUCAGUUUAGCAUUUGCCCUGGGUUUUUCAUUUUUAACCUAUUAUUAUUAGUAACAGUUCAGUAUAAAUGCUAAGAUGGGUCUGGUGGACUUUCACUUUUCCAGCUUCAGCUCCAACUCAGCUAGGACCAUAUCUGAUAGAUGUCCGAACCUUCCUAGGAACAAAGCAACUAACACCAUUCUCCCACGGAGAUCAUGCAGGACACUCGGUAGGACAAGGAAAUGCGCAUGAAUACCAUAUUGAUGUUGCUUGCUGCCCUGCUGGCUUAGUGCUGGUCCAGCCAGUGAAGUGUGGCAGAGGUAGCAAUUCUUGUCACAAUUCUAACCUAAGUCCACAGGGUACCUGAAGCGACCAACCUGCAAGUCAGUGGAUUCUUUAGGAAAUAGGGAGAAGUAUAGGGCAGUUAUACAUAAAAUAUGCAGGGGAAAUCAAGGCAAGUAUGUUCUACCCAGUAAAUUACUGAUUAAAGUAGUCAAAUAAACACCAAAAAAAAAAAAAAAAAAA